Caenorhabditis elegans is the source of this 133-nucleotide non-coding RNA. NCBI's taxonomy places the organism in Eukaryota, Metazoa, Nematoda, Chromadorea, Rhabditida, Rhabditidae. The record is from Ensembl.
CUCACUCAUCCCACCGAUAGAGCUCCGACGCGGAGGCGGAGGUGGGCUUGGCGGCUCACGUGGCGGUGGUGGAUCCCGUGGAAGUAGUGGCGGUGGAUUUGGAAGCCGAGGAUCGUCGGGAGCACGAACAUCU